AGGACACUAGCUCAGCUGGUUAGAGCACCGGACUUUUAAUCCGGGUGUCGAAAGUUCGAAUCUUUCGUGUCCUA
Molecule: transfer RNA, 74 nt
Filed under: Enterobacter phage prasa_myo
Lineage: Duplodnaviria; Heunggongvirae; Uroviricota; Caudoviricetes; Pantevenvirales; Straboviridae
Also listed under: 7 other names
Description: tRNA-Lys
Rfam family: tRNA
About the family: Transfer RNA (tRNA) molecules are approximately 80 nucleotides in length.
Source: RNAcentral